RNAcentral lists this ribosomal RNA (400 nucleotides) under uncultured bacterium. RNAcentral describes it as "bacterial SSU rRNA". It matches the Rfam family "Bacterial small subunit ribosomal RNA", at positions 355 to 772 of the family's 1533-position model. The record is from RNAcentral.
UGGGGAAUCUUAGACAAUGGGCGCAAGCCUGAUCUAGCCAUGCCGCGUGGGUGAUGAAGGCCUUAGGGUCGUAAAGCCCUUUCGCCGGGGAAGAUAAUGACGGUACCCGGUAAAGAAACCCCGGCUAACUCCGUGCCAGCAGCCGCGGUAAUACGGAGGGGGCUAGCGUUGUUCGGAAUUACUGGGCGUAAAGCGCACGUAGGCGGCUUUGUAAGUUAGAGGUGAAAGCCCGGGGCUCAACCCCGGAAUUGCCUUUAAGACUGCAUCGCUUGAAUCCAGGAGAGGUGAGUGGAAUUCCGAGUGUAGAGGUGAAAUUCGUAGAUAUUCGGAAGAACACCAGUGGCGAAGGCGGCUCACUGGACUGGUAUUGACGCUGAGGUGCGAAAGCGUGGGGAGCAAA